GGGGGCCAGAGGAGGGACAGUUAUGGGCAGUGGCAAGAGGAAGCUGCUUGUGGCUGUGGGUAGGACCGACCGCAGGUGUUCCCUCCCCAGGCUUCAUCGAGGACCCUGAGAGGAAGUAUCACUUUGAGUGCAGCAGCGAGGAGCAGUGUCAAGAGUGGAUGGAGGCUCUGCGUCAGGCCAGCUACGAGUUCAUGCGGAGAAGCCUCAUCUUCUACAGGAAUGAAAUACGGAAGGUGACGGGCAAGGUGUGUGCAGGGCUGCAGAGGGCUGGGGUGGGGCUGCAGGUGGCUGGGGUGGGGCUGCAGGUGGCAGAAGCAGUCCUCCGGCCCUGGCUCAUGGCCACCCGUCCACCCCACAGGACCCCCUGGAACAGUUCGGCAUAUCCGAGGAGGCCAGGUUCCAGCUGAGUGGCUUGCAGGCAUGAGCGCAGGGCAUGGCGGUCAGCGUGCAGCUGGACAGGACUGGCCCUGCCCAGCCGUGAAUCGCUUGGCGAUGCCUGGAUUUGUUUUGUUUUGGUUUUUGGGUCAGGGUCUCACUGUGUUGCCCAGGCACAGUGGUGCCACAGCUCACUGUGACCUUGACCUUCUGGACUCAAGUGAUCCUCCUGCCUCAGCUUCCCAAGUAGUGGGGGUCACAGGCAUGAGCCGCCACACCCGGCCAUCACACCUGGAUUUUCAGUGGGAGGUUUUUGGUUUGGAGACAUCCAAAGCCUGAAGCCAGAUGGGUGUGGGCAGGGGCUGCAUUUUAUGAAACUGCCCAGCAAGCUGCCCUCCCUGAGGCCCCAGGAUCCACCUAACUGGCCUGGCACCUGGUGCCACAUGCUGCUGCCAGGAUAUGCGCCCUCCCACAGGUGCCCCGCCUGAGUUGUGUGCAUCCAGGACCUGGCGAGCCC
This 892-nucleotide small RNA is filed under the name Pongo abelii (Sumatran orangutan). RNAcentral describes it as "retained intron". Lineage: Eukaryota; Metazoa; Chordata; Mammalia; Primates; Hominidae. The record is from RNAcentral.